RNAcentral lists this ribosomal RNA (949 nucleotides) under Salmonella enterica. RNAcentral describes it as "partial 23S ribosomal RNA". It matches the Rfam family "Bacterial large subunit ribosomal RNA", at positions 339 to 1190 of the family's 2925-position model. Lineage: Bacteria; Pseudomonadati; Pseudomonadota; Gammaproteobacteria; Enterobacterales; Enterobacteriaceae. The record is from RNAcentral.
CGUCUGGAAAGGCGCGCGAUACAGGGUGACAGCCCCGUACACAAAAGCGCAUGUGCUGUGAGCUCGAUGAGUAGGGCGGGACACGUGGUAUCCUGUCUGAAUAUGGGGGGACCAUCCUCCAAGGCUAAAUACUCCUGACUGACCGAUAGUGAACCAGUACCGUGAGGGAAAGGCGAAAAGAACCCCGGCGAGGGGAGUGAAAAAGAACCUGAAACCGUGUACGUACAAGCAGUGGGAGCCCCACCACCAAAGCAUUCUCUGGUGUUGAAGGCCCUGCAAAGCAGCAUCGCGGUGGCGGAGCGUCGUUUGCGACGCCCAACACACAAAACAAGCGGUGAGUGCUUUGGGGUGGGGUGACUGCGUACCUUUUGUAUAAUGGGUCAGCGACUUAUAUUCUGUAGCAAGGUUAACCGAAUAGGGGAGCCGGAGGGAAACCGAGUCUUAAUUGGGCGUUAAGUUGCAGGGUAUAGACCCGAAACCCGGUGAUCUAGCCAUGGGCAGGUUGAAGGUUGGGUAACACUAACUGGAGGACCGAACCGACUAAUGUUGAAAAAUUAGCGGAUGACCUGUGGCUGGGGGUGAAAGGCCAAUCAAACCGGGAGAUAGCUGGUUCUCCCCGAAAGCUAUUUAGGUAGCGCCUCGUGAAUUCAUCUCCGGGGGUAGAGCACUGUUUCGGCUAGGGGGCCAUCCCGGCUUACCAACCCGAUGCAAACUGCGAAUACCGGAGAAUGUUAUCACGGGAGACACACGGCGGGUGCUAACGUCCGUCGUGAAGAGGGAAACAACCCAGACCGCCAGCUAAGGUCCCAAAGUCAUGGUUAAGUGGGAAACGAUGUGGGAAGGCCCAGACAGCCAGGAUGUUGGCUUAGAAGCAGCCAUCAUUUAAAGAAAGCGUAAUAGCUCACUGGUCGAGUCGGCCUGCGCGGAAGAUGUAACGGGGCUAAACCAU